Molecule: ribosomal RNA, 419 nt
Filed under: uncultured bacterium
Lineage: Bacteria
Description: bacterial SSU rRNA
Rfam family: Bacterial small subunit ribosomal RNA
Source: RNAcentral
UGGGGAAUAUUGGGCAAUGGGCGAAAGCCUGACCCAGCAACGCCGCGUGGAGGAAGAAGGUCUUCGGAUUGUAAACUUCUUUUAUGAGGGACGAAGGACGUGACGGUACCUCAUGAAUAAGCCACGGCUAACUACGUGCCAGCAGCCGCGGUAAUACGUAGGUGGCGAGCGUUAUCCGGAAUUACUGGGUGUAAAGGGUGUGUAGGCGGGAUUGCAAGUCAGAUGUGAAAUACCAAGGCUUAACCAUGGAGCUGCAUUUGGAAACUGUUUUUCUUGAGUACUGGAGAGGCAGACGGAAUUCCUAGUGUAGCGGUGAAAUGCGUAGAUAUUAGGAGGAACACCAGUGGCGAAGGCGGUCUGCUGGACAGCAACUGACGCUGAGGCGCGAAAGCGUGGGGAGCAAACAGGAUUAGAUACCC